Molecule: ribosomal RNA, 241 nt
Filed under: uncultured bacterium
Lineage: Bacteria
Description: partial 16S ribosomal RNA
Rfam family: Bacterial small subunit ribosomal RNA
Source: RNAcentral
GAUCCUGGCUCAGGACGAACGCUGGCGGCGUGCUUAACACAUGCAAGUCGAACGGAGUGUAGCAAUACACUUAGUGGCGGACGGGUGAGUAACACGUGAGCAACCUGCCCUGUACAACGGGAUAACACAGAGAAAUUUGUGCUAAUACGGUAUAAGACCACACUGCGGCAUCGCAGAGGGGUAAAAGCUGAGGCGGUACAGGAGGGGCUCGCGGCCCAUUAGAUAGUUGGUGAGGUAACGG